RNAcentral lists this ribosomal RNA (260 nucleotides) under uncultured bacterium. Its description in RNAcentral is "partial 16S ribosomal RNA". It matches the Rfam family "Bacterial small subunit ribosomal RNA", at positions 524 to 776 of the family's 1533-position model. The record is from RNAcentral.
UACGAAGGGGGCUAGCGUUGUUCGGAAUUACUGGGCGUAAAGCGUGCGCAGGCGGUUCGUUGUGUCGGUGGUGAAAGCCCCGGGCUUAACCUGGGAAUGGCCAUGGAAACUGGCGAACUGGAGUGUGGCAGAGGGGGGUGGAUUCCACGUGUAGCGGUGAAAUGCGCAGAUAUCAGGAGGAACACCGGAUGGCGGAAAGGCCAGGUCUCGUGGGCAUUGAACUGACGCUGGAGGAGCUGAAAGCAUGGGGAGCGAACAGG